UAUAGUAGAAAGAAGUGUAGCGAUUCACGCGUCUGAAGUUUCGGAGCAUGACGUAACCAUCAAAUUUCAGACGCAGCAAAUUCAGACUAGUCGUUUCCUAUGCAUCUAUAUGUAGGUGAAGGAAAGACAUGCUAAUAUAUGCGUACGCAUCUCGACACAUCUCGAUCGUAGCAAAAGGAACGUAGCUGUAAUCAGCUGUAAUGAUGGGAGGCGUGGAGCGUGGAGCACCGUGGAGAAAGAUCUUCCAACAAUGCACCAAUGACGUUACGCGGCCAACUUCAUGGUGCACGAUACGCGUGACAAAAACGAAAUACCACGUGGAAUGUAUAACAAAAAAAAACUGGACCCGUAUAACCUUUAUAUUGAUUUUAGCUUGAUCAAAAUAAUUUAAGCUCGAGAUCUUAAUCGUUUAAACAUUGCAGUUGCGGGAAUCUGAUUGAAUUGUGUGUAAUUAAAUAAAAUAAUUGCUAUUUUUGUAUAUUUUGUAUAUUAUACAUAUACAUAAUAUAAUAUCAAAUUAGUAAUAAGAUUUUUUUUCAUAAAUUACGUAUAUGAUUCAUUAUCUUUAUUUGAAUGUAUAUAAUAACGUAUAUUUAAACAUUUUUAGUCGUAAUAUUUUAUUAUUCUAAGGCACGUGUAUGUAAAAUUAACUGACUAAAUUUGUUCGCUUCAAUGACAUCGUAACUCUUGUUAACGUAAAUGUAUCAAUGCGAUUUAUUAUCUAUUCGAUCACGCUUCAACCUCUUUAAUUUAUGCGCAGUUACGUUUUGCCUGUAAUCAAUCUUUCCGAAGCUGUUCGGAACGCGCACGAUCGGAUUUUACGGGAAUUACGGCCGAUUUCACCAACUUUCCUUCGAAUUAAGAUUAGAUAACGUCUAUUAAAUUCGCACUUAACGGCUUUUUAGGCGAAAAAGAGUUUCCCUGUUUCAAGUUUUUUAACAUUUAAUAUUAUAGUUGAUAAUUAUACUGAUUAUUUGGAGCAUUUCGUAUCUGUAAAGAUAUUUAAGUUUUUAAUUUUGUAAUUCUCAAGCUUUGACAAAUUGUUUCAUUUCUAAGAACAAGAGAAAAUCUUAGAACCAUUUUUUCCAUAGUUUUAUUAAUUUAAAAAUUGAUAAUUUAUUUUAUUCUUUUUUAAUCUUGACAAAAUUUGCUAAAAGAAUUUAUUAAUUAAAUACGUAUCUUUUUUAUUAAAUAUUUUACUGGCUUAUUGAUAUAUAUUUGAAAAUGUAAAAGUUUAAUAAAAUUGACACAUUAACGCUUGCCAAAUUUACACGUAUGUCACUGUAUUUCAU
Molecule: long non-coding RNA, 1292 nt
Organism: Monomorium pharaonis (pharaoh ant)
Lineage: Eukaryota; Metazoa; Arthropoda; Insecta; Hymenoptera; Formicidae
Exons: 2
Source: RefSeq, a predicted model, not a curated record